Molecule: non-coding RNA, 204 nt
Organism: Pelobates cultripes (western spadefoot toad)
Lineage: Eukaryota; Metazoa; Chordata; Amphibia; Anura; Pelobatidae
Source: the annotation of a GenBank genome assembly
GGACACACAGAGUCUCACACUCGCCAAACAGCAUGGGGAGCAGAGAAACUGUCACACCACAAAGCAUACACCCCCACCACCCAAGGCACUCACACAGGACCGGGAGGCAACGGCGGAGUCCCUCUAGCUUCCAUGAUCGGCGACGCCAAGGCCCCAUGGGACUUUCCAGUAUGUGCCCUGCAAGUGCCGACUACAGGAGUAGGC